Molecule: ribosomal RNA, 496 nt
Filed under: uncultured bacterium
Lineage: Bacteria
Description: partial 16S ribosomal RNA
Rfam family: Bacterial small subunit ribosomal RNA
Source: RNAcentral
GAUGAACGCUGGCGGCGUGCCUAAUACAUGCAAGUCGAGCGAACAGACGAGGAGCUUGCUCCUCUGACGUUAGCGGCGGACGGGUGAGUAACACGUGGAUAACCUACCUAUAAGACUGGAUAACUUCGGGAAACCGGAGCUAAUACCGGAUAAUAUAUUGAACCGCAUGGUUCAAUAGUGAAAGACGGUUUUGCUGUCACUUAUAGAUGGAUCCGCGCCGCAUUAGCUAGUUGGUAAGGUAACGGCUUACCAAGGCAACGAUGCGUAGCCGACCUGAGGGGGUGAUCGGCCACACUGGAACUGAGACACGGUCCAGACUCCUACGGGAGGCAGCAGUAGGGAAUCUUCCGCAAUGGGCGAAAGCUUGACGGAGCAACGCCGCGUGAGUGAUGAAGGUCUUCGGAUCGUAAAACUCUGUUAUUAGGGAAGAACAAAUGUGUAAGUAACUAUGCACGUCUUGACGGUACCUAAUCAGAAAGCCACGGCUAACUACGUG